AUAUUACUUCUUUGACUGUCUUAACUGGAGGAAAGUAGCUAAGGAGUUCCAUCUGGAAUAUGACAAAUUAGAAGAACGGCCUCACCUGCCAUCCACCUUCAACUACAACCCUGCUCAGCAAGCCUUCUAAAAAAAAAAAAAAAAAAAAAAAAAGACUUCCCUUUUCUUGGGGUAUGGCUGUCUCAGCACAAUACUCAACAUAACUGCAGAACUGAUGUGGCUCAGGCACCCUGGUUUUAAUUCCUUGAGGAUCUGGCAAUUGGCUUACGCAAAAGGUCACCAUUUGAGGUCCUGCCUUACUAAUUAUGUGCUGCCCAACAACUAAAUUUGUAAUUUGUUUUUCUCUAGUUUGAGCAGGGUCUGAAUUUUUUCAUUUAUUUCCUUUUUUGCCAGCAGACAGACUUGAGUCUGUAAAGACAAGCAAAUACACUGACAGAAGUUUACCAUAGUUUCUAAAAUGUAAAAAAGAAAACCCCCAAAAGACUCAAGAAAAUUAGACCACAAAUUUUGCAUUGUUCAUUGUAGCACUAUUGGUAAUAAAAUAACAAAUGUUUGUGCAUUUUUAUGUGAAGAUCCUUCUCGUAUUUCAUUUGGAAAGAUGAGCAAGAGGUCUGCUUCCUUCAUUUUACUUCCCCUUCUGUUUUUGAAAGGCAGUUUCGCCAAGCUUAAUGCAAGAAUAUCUGACUGUUUAGAAGAAAGAUAUUGCCACAAUCUCUGGAUGGUUUUCCAGGGUUGUGUUAUUACUGAGCUUCAUCUUUCCAGAAUGAGCAAAACACUGUCCAGUCUUUGUUACGAUUUUGUAAUAAAUGUGUACAUUUUUUUUAAAUUUUUGGACAUCACAUGAAUAAAGGUAUGUAUGUACGAAUGUGUAUAUAUUAUAUAUAUGACAUCUAUUUUGGAAAAUGUUUGCCCUGCUGUACCUCAUUUUUAGGAGGUGUGCAUGGAUGCAAUAUAUGAAAAUGGGACAUUCUGGAACUGCUGGUCAGGGGACUUUGUCGCCCUGUGCACUAAAAGGGCCAGAUUUUCAGCAGCCAAGGACAUCCAUACCCAAGUGAAUGUGAUGGGACUUAAAAGAAGUGAACUGAGACAAUUCACUCUGGCUGUUUGAACAGCAGCGUUUCAUAGGAAGAGAAAAAAAGAUCAAUCUUGUAUUUUCUGACCACAUAAAGGCUUCUUCUCUUUGUAAUAAAGUAGAAAAGCUCUCCUCACUGC
RNAcentral lists this long non-coding RNA (1212 nucleotides) under Homo sapiens (human). RNAcentral's name for it is "long non-coding RNA NONHSAT162411.1". Lineage: Eukaryota; Metazoa; Chordata; Mammalia; Primates; Hominidae. The record is from RNAcentral.